RNAcentral lists this long non-coding RNA (1147 nucleotides) under Anser brachyrhynchus (Pink-footed goose). RNAcentral's name for it is "lncRNA (ENSABRG00000017910.1)". Lineage: Eukaryota; Metazoa; Chordata; Aves; Anseriformes; Anatidae. The record is from RNAcentral.
UAUACUCUUAUUUAAUUUAACAAAACCUAAGAGUACAUCCUACCUCUUGACAGGAGCUCAUGGGCUGCUGAUGCAUCUUUUUCAGUUACCCUGAUAUUGUUAUUGUAAAGAUACAGAGUUGUUUAUGUGUCUGAGAGAGAAACAGACAAUAAUUUGCAGCAUUACUCACUGGAUCAGUUUUUACAGCAGCCUCAGAACUCUCACAAAUUUAUAGGUAUGCCGACAUGUGAUAUUUAUAUGGAAGAUGUUUCAUUAUCACCUGGCAUAUUAUUGAAAUGUACAACACAUUCAAACUCUGCCUUUCAUCAGAAAAAAAGCCACAUGGGAUCUGAAAGACUGUCCUUAUUUACAAGGGAUUUCCAGAUGUUUGACCACCUGCUUGGGCCUAGCAUGUAGAUUGAUCCUUUCUCACCAUGUUCAGAGAUGAGCAUGGGUAAGCUAGUGUAUGAAGCAGCAAGCCUUGUGUUUCCAUGGUGUUUCCAUGAAGUACCUGAUAAAGAUGUAGUCAAGGACAAACAGAAGGAAAUGAUGCUUUCCCACUUCACUUUAUCUGUUGUGGCAUUUGCCUGUUUCUCUUAUAUACCCAAGGUGUGAGUUUAUUUGCUUUUAUUUAUUUAUUUAUUACGGUACCACUGAUUCUGGACCAGAUGUACUAAGUCCUAUGCAUUUUGAGGGCAGCAGAUUUACUGGCUGUGUGCAGACCAUCUGCACCCUGAAUGUGUAACAGGUCCAGUCCUUCCAAGAACUGCUAGAUUUACCGAACAUGUGCUACAUGACUUGCACACCUAGGAAAUGAUGAGAGGAAUUGUGCCAGUCCUAGUUCUAUGGAGAGCUUAGAAAGAAGAGGAGAAACAUCUUCUACUAUAGGAAAACUGACUUUAGGGAAGCAGUUCUUUCCCAUUCAGGAAACUUGUUCUGUGAGCUUUGGGCAGAAGAUAAAUUCAGUGUCUGUGAGAAACCUUAGUAUCUGAGAGAGAAAUCUGUUCAACAUUUAAUAUGGCUUCAGGCUCUGUAAUCCCCUGAGGCAGCGAAGCAACCUCAGUGCCUUAGAAACUCCUUCAGGGUGUCAGCCUUGUCAAUGUGGCACUUGUGAACCACUGUUACAGGCAAGCCACAGGGCAUGGAUUGGAUCUCUGGCCUGUAAAGA